AUGUCGGAGACGCAACCACCCUCGCCAUCGUCGUGGUCGGCCAUCCCGCUGGACCUGGCUGGGCUGGUGCUCUGGCUCCUCCCCGCGUGCGCCGACCGCGCCCGCUUCGCCGCGGUAUGCCCGCAGUGGCGCACCGCCGCGCUGCACCACCGUGUGCUCCCGGUGCUGCCGCUGCUCGCGCUCCCGGACGGCACCUUCUACAGCCUCCCUUACAGCAAGCGGUUCUGCUUCCCAGGCUGCGGCUUCGCGGGGUACAACAGCGCCUGCGGCCGCUGGCUCGCUUUCCUACGCGACGACGGAUGCUUCCUCGUGGAUCCAUUCACCGGCGCCACCGUGACGCUCCCUGCACUCUCUCACGUCCGGCUCCGUCCACAGCAUGCGGAUCUGAAGCACAUACCAGAGCACGAGCGUCACACCCGCGGCACAUGGCUGCUUAUCAGAAACGUGGACACUCUCCUGCUGAGUAAGCUGAUACUGUGCUCGCCGAACCUCGCCGCUGCAUUUGUCUCCCAUGAAAUGCUUGGCCAAAUCCUGCUGUGCCGGCCAGGGGCUACCUCGUGGUCGGUACGCGCGUACGAUGAGUGCAAGGAUUACAAAGAUAUGGCGUUCUACCAGGGCAAGCUCUACGCCAUUGACUACGGCGAGGACCUCUUCAUGGUAAACAUCGGCCAGGACGAGAGCACCGGCGACCCGCAGAUUUCUCGGAUCGGACGGAUCAUCAAUGGCAGUCCAUGUGAUUUGGAUUGGACGCCAAGCAACAGCACCAUCAAGAUCAAGGUUUACCUGGUCGAAUCAUGUGGCAAGCUGCUAAUGGUACGCAGGAAGAUCUGGUGCAGGCUGGUGCUGGACCAUGUUUUGGCUGGAGAGAGCGAGUUCGAGGUGUUCGAGGCUGACUUCAAGCGCUCACGGUGGAUCAGUGUGACGACCUUGGGAGAGGACCAGGUGGUUUUUGUUGGGCGAAGCUGCUCCCUGGCCGUUCCCGUGUCUCAGUACGGGAUGAAGGGAGAUCGGAUCUUUUUCUUGGACGAUGAUGAAUAUUACAAGGGCUAUAGCCACAAGAACGACGACACUUCCAUCAGUGUCUACGACAUGAUAGACGGUGAGGUUUCAUCCCCUCUGCCGAUGGUCUCAUGGAAACGUGACACAGAUAGAAACAAAAUGCAUCACACGACAUGGCUACUUCCGUGA
RNAcentral lists this ribosomal RNA (1188 nucleotides) under Triticum aestivum (bread wheat). RNAcentral describes it as "partial small subunit ribosomal RNA". Lineage: Eukaryota; Viridiplantae; Streptophyta; Magnoliopsida; Poales; Poaceae. The record is from RNAcentral.